UCCUGUAUCGAAAGUGUCGUCGGCGUGCUGUCGCCUUCGCCAUUGAUAGUGCAGGAAGAGGAAGUUGCGAGCCUUUCCCGUGUCCGCCGGACCUCCGCUUCCGGUCGGACCCUGGCGCUCGCGCACA
Molecule: small nucleolar RNA, 127 nt
Organism: Syngnathoides biaculeatus (alligator pipefish)
Lineage: Eukaryota; Metazoa; Chordata; Actinopteri; Syngnathiformes; Syngnathidae
Product: small nucleolar RNA SNORA71
Exons: 1
Source: RefSeq, a predicted model, not a curated record